GAUCGCGGCGACGUGGGCGGUUCGCUGCUGGCGACGUCAUGAGAAGUCCACUGAACCUUAUCAUUUAGAGGAAGGAGAAGUCGUAACAAGGUUUCCGUAGGUGAACCUGCGGAAGGAUCAUUGUCGAU
This 128-nucleotide ribosomal RNA is filed under the name Gilbertiodendron diphyllum. Its description in RNAcentral is "partial 18S ribosomal RNA". It matches the Rfam family "Eukaryotic small subunit ribosomal RNA", at positions 1713 to 1831 of the family's 1831-position model. The record is from RNAcentral. Lineage: Eukaryota; Viridiplantae; Streptophyta; Magnoliopsida; Fabales; Fabaceae.